CUAACUUCGUGCCAGCAGCCGCGGUAUACGAAGGGGGCUAGCGUUACUCGGAAUUAUUGGGCGUAAAGCGUGCGUAGGCUGCUUAGUAAGUCAAAAGUGAAAGCCUUGGGCUCAACCUAAGAAUUGCUUUUGAAACUACUAAGCUUGAGUACUGUAGGGGGUAGCGGAACUCCUAGUGUAGGGGUGAAAUUCGUAGAUAUUAGGAGGAACACCGGAGGCGAAAGCGGUUAUCUGGACAGUCACUGACGCUGUUGCACGAAAGCGUGGGGAGCAAACAGGAUUAGAUACCCUGGUAGUCCACGCUGUAAACGAUUAGAGUGCUAAA
RNAcentral lists this ribosomal RNA (325 nucleotides) under Candidatus Midichloria mitochondrii. Its description in RNAcentral is "bacterial SSU rRNA". It matches the Rfam family "Bacterial small subunit ribosomal RNA", at positions 497 to 820 of the family's 1533-position model. The record is from RNAcentral. Lineage: Bacteria; Pseudomonadati; Pseudomonadota; Alphaproteobacteria; Rickettsiales; Candidatus Midichloriaceae.